UUUUUACAUAAACAAUAGGGCAGAGGAAGCAAUCGGAUAGGCAUUUGCUUCAGGUGAGCAGAGGGAUGACUUUCUGUCCCACAUCUGUGAAGAUCAGCUGUUGGUUUACAUUGCCAGGGUGAAAUUCAACAGAACUAAUUUAGGGUGAAGAUCUUGAGGCCCACAAGGAAUUUCCUUGUGGGAAAAUUGUGAGGAAGAUCGGAUGAGAGAAGAGAAGUGACUUCCCCAUGGUCACAUGUCUAGUUGGCAAUGGAAGUGGGAUUCAAGUCCAGUUCCACCUGACUUCAAAGCUUAUUCCUGUUUGACUUCACCCUGCUGCCUCUAAGAUAAAGGGGAGAUCAGGAGAGCAGAAUGGUUGCUUCCCCAGAGGAACAUGUGGUCUCAUUUUCUGCUUAGGGAUAGCUCACAGGAUUCAUGAAGUGGUCACCAGAGGAUAAGGACCAACCAGGUUAACGUGAAGAAAACACCCAGCUGCAGCUGUUUAAUGAGCAACUCGAAGCUGUGGAUAAGAGCAAUCACUGCACCCAGCCACCUCUAUAUACAUGUACACAAAGCCACACAGUUUACACAGUCACAGGUAUUUAAGUACACACUAUUCACACACAAAUACAUAUAUAGACACACAUGUACAGUCCGUCCAAAAUAUAUGUACAUAAAAGCACACUAUUACACCUUCAUAUGUGCACACACACACACACCCAGACUCACUUCAUACACACAUAGAUACAACAGCCACAGCUCCCCAUCACCUACACACACACACACACACCUGGACACCCAGCUCUAAUAUAAUCAGAUAGAGAUAUGCAUGCAGACAAAUUUGCCUGUAUAGUCAAACACAUAGGCAAAUAGAGAACGAGACACCACAUGAACAAAGGCAAACCUACACACAAAGACACAGAGCACACUUACGCAUAUAUCUAUAGACCCACCAUGGCACAUAUGGGUAAGUGCACACAGGCAAACUCACACACACGAGCAUGCACAGGCAGAGAACACAAAUGUACACUCCCAGGUGUCAUAAAGAACAGCCCAGCUUCGGCUUGGGAACGUCACAUCAGACAAUAGGAACGGCUGCACCGCGCGUUUCCUCGGCUGCCAGCUUCCCAGCCACAGAGGAUGCCUCACCUGCUAUGUCAGCUCCCCUCUGCCCCACCUCACAAGAAGCUCAGAAGCUGAGGAGUCACAGAGAGACCUCCCUACUGUGUCAGAGGUACAGCUUGAGCAAAGACACAGAAGCAGAAGGCAGGUUUUUGGUUCCAUGAACUCUACAUCUGGCUACAUACAAAUGGUGAAGAGGAACAGGGAGAAACAUGGUUGAAAAGAACAGGCUUGGACUUCAGGAAGCAGUAAAAUGAGCGAAUGCCAUUUAUGGUUACAAAGAUAACUCAGCUGGGGGCCAAACAGAGACUGAAAUGGAGUGGGUGAGGAUGGAGGCCGGGAGGAGAUGGCUGCAGAGGUCCCAGCAAUGACAGUGGUUGUGGGAAGGGGCAACCCCAAGUCUUGUGCUCCCAACUGCAAAUCCAGUGCUUUUUCUAAAAAAAUAUUUAAAUAAUUUAUUUAUUUUUGAGAUGGAGUCUCGCUCUGUCACCCAGGCUGGAGUGCAGUGACACAAUGUCGGCUCGUGCAACCUCUGCCCCCCGGGUUCAAGCGAUUCUCCUGCCUCAGCCUCCCAAGUAGCUGGGAUUACAGACGCACGCCUCCACGCCUGGCUAAUUUUUUAUAUUUUUGGUAGAGAUGGGGUUUCACCAUGUUGCCCAGGCUGGUCUCGAACUCCUGACUUCAAGUGAUCCACCCACCUCGGCCUCCCAAAGUACUAGGAUGACAGGCGUGAGCCACUGUGCCCAGCCUUAUUUUUUUUUUUAAUUUAUAUUUUCAGAGGCAAACGAUCCUUGCUCAUUAAAAAAAGGAAAUAGAAAUUCAAAACAAAAAUGCCUGUAUCUGAUGGGAAAGAUGAGCCCAAUGUUCUUUUUUAAAAAACCUUUAUUAUGAAAUAUUUCAACUGAACAUAUGCAGUUUAUAUUGUUAUAAAGCAUAACAAGCAAUCAAACAGCUGUGAACCCACCACUCCAUGUCAGAACUAGAACUUCCCAAAGCAGUCGGAGCUGAGGUGAGAUCCACUCUGAUGCCCUUCCCCAACUCCACGCCACCCCCCAAGACCUGACCACCUGAUUACUCUGGGAUUUCAUUUUUGUCUCGUUCCCUUGCUUUGCUUUAUGUCUUUACCAAAUGUGAAUGUGUGCCUAAACAAUACAGUGCUCGAUUUGCUUGUGUUUAAGCUUUAUUACAAAUAUAACUUUGAUCCUUCUGCUACUUGCAAUUCUAAAUUUGAUAUUACGAGUCUCAGCCUCAUCGGCGUUGAUGCGUGUGACCGACAUUGAUUCACUCUCACCAGUACGUGGUGUGUUCCGUUGCAUGCAUGCACCCCUGCUGGGGUAUCCAUUCUCCUGUUGGUGGACCUUUGGGUGGUAUUAGUUGCUGGUCAUCUCCAUGGUGCUGUCCUCUUGCAGGUCUCCAGGACACAUGUGCAUGAGUUCCUCUAGGAAACCACGGUGUACAACUGCUGGGUUGCAGGCCCAGGGUUCUUUCCACUUCUCUAUCCUCCCAAGUAGGGUCCAGCUGGCCUUAGUGCUGCCAUGCUGAGAGCUCUGGGAGGGGCAACCCAGGGCAGACAGGCCCAGGCCAGCCACCCUGCCCCAGGCAUUUCCCAGGACUCAUCAGGCACCCAGCGGCCCCUCAGCAGUGAGCAAUACCAGAAAUCUGCCAGCUGGCUACUAACUGGGUCACAAGAGAGUACUGCUGUCUCACUCAGGGUGCGUUCCAUUUCCUUCAGCACUUGCGCCAAGUAAGGCUGUGUUCACAGGCCACAAGACCCAAGGGAGAUGGAAAUCAGCUCACAGAUGCUGAGCUGACUGCACACCAGGCAGUGUGCAAAGCACCUUACACAUAUAACUCACUUAAUCCUCAUCCCUGACUGCACGAGGUGGGCACUAUUAUUAACCCCACUUUACAGAUAAGAAACUGAGGCGCAGGAAGUUGAAAAUUUUGCCCAGACCAACACGUACAACUUCAAAUCCAGACAGCCUGGCCGCUCUGCUCCUACUACUCUGCUACCCCAUCUCUCAAGAGGGGAAAAGGACUAGCUCCUUGCCCAAUCCUGAGGUUGUCAGCAUUCUUUUACUGGCAAGGAAAACAAAUGGAACUUCAAUGAAUAUAUGUAGAAAGAAAGACUUAUUAGCUGACAAAAAUCAAUAGAGAAAAGACAGGUUAGAAGCAGAUCUCAGGGCCCACUGGGUCCAGGGAGGCGAAAGCGCCCCUCCUUCUCCGUCUUCCUCCUCCACGUCUCUCUUUGUGCUGUUUUCAUUCUUUCCUAUUGCAAAAGGGCCUCCUCCCCUGGGCAGGUAGGUGGCUGCCUGCAACUCUCACCUCACCUUCUCACAGAUCUGCCUAUUUCUAUUUUAAAAUACAAACAAACCAAAAGCCAGAGAAGGUUCCUGACAGGCCCAGGAAAGGAUGUGAUUAGCUUAGUCUGGGCCACCUGCCCAUUUUUUAUGGACUAAAUGUUUGUGUGUCUCCAAAUUGGUAUGUGGAAGCCCUACCCCCAGUGUGACAGUAUUAGGAAGUGGGGCCUCUGAAAGGUCAUUAGGUUUCAAUGAGGUCAUGAGGGUGGGGGGAUCCAUGAUGGAAUUAGUGCCGUUAUAAGAAAAGGAAGAGACACCAGAGUUUUCUCUCCACCAUGUGAGGUUACAGCAAGAAGGCAGCUGUCUGCAAGCCUGAAGAGAGCCCUUACCAGGAGCCAAAUCUGCCAGCACCCUGAUCUUGGACUUCCAGAACUGUGAGAAAUAAAUUCCUGUUCCUGAAGCCACUCAGUCCGUGGGAUUCUAUUAGCAGUCGGGACUGACUUGGACACUGUUCCUGGAGCAACGCUAGUGGCCUGGGGAAGCUGGGCCCUGGGACUGGUGCAGGGAGGGCCACAGUCCCAGCCUAUAGCAGCUGAAGCUGCAUUUGUCCCCAGGAAGAGGACAUCACAGACACAACCCCAGAGGCAGUGGGAGGGGGCAUGAUUGAUUGGGAGCAAGGCAACAGUCUAACAGGGCCCAUCUGUGCCCAGGAGUGGGAGAAGCUCCUGGCCAUGAAGAGAGCCCUCACCAGAGGCCAAACCUACUAGGACCUUGAUCUUGGACUUCCAGCCUCCUCCCUGGAAACACGUGACAGCACAUAUGGGUGGUCUCCCUUCUUGAGCGAGGCCUGAGUCUUCACCCAGGAUCCAACUAGACUGAAAAGAACUGUCUCCCUAACAGCACUCCAUCAGCAUUCAGAGAAAAGAGAUUUCCACCUGGUGUUUUUAACCAACACAACCUCCUUCUACACCCUAACCCAUAGAGGGCCCUGGGACCAGUAUAAGAAGUGUGGGUGUUAAGCUGGGACUGCUAGAAGGAGCAGCAGCCCCAUGGGAGCAGGGCAGGAGGGUCCCCUCUUGACCUGCUGACUGCAAACACUGCAGCCGGAGAGACACUCACUCAGGCCACGGUGGGGAGGCCCAGGGGAGGCACGUGUCCUCAUUCUGCUAAGGCGAUAGGGCUCGGGCACAGGACAGGCGAUUUGA
RNAcentral lists this long non-coding RNA (4606 nucleotides) under Homo sapiens (human). Its description in RNAcentral is "HSALNT0098051". The record is from RNAcentral. Lineage: Eukaryota; Metazoa; Chordata; Mammalia; Primates; Hominidae.